UGGGGAAUAUUGGACAAUGGGCGAAAGCCUGAUCCAGCCAUGCCGCGUGUGUGAAGAAGGCCUUUUAGUUGUAAAGCACUUUAAGUGGGGAGGAAAAGCUUAUGGUUAAUACCCAUAAGCCCUGACGUUACCCACAGAAUAAGCACCGGCUAACUCUGUGCCAGCAGCCGCGGUAAUACAGAGGGUGCAAGCGUUAAUCGGAAUUACUGGGCGUAAAGCGCGCGUAGGUGGUUAUUUAAGUCAGAUGUGAAAGCCCCGGGCUUAACCUGGGAACUGCAUCUGAUACUGGAUAACUAGAGUAGGUGAGAGGGGAGUAGAAUUCCAGGUGUAGCGGUGAAAUGCGUAGAGAUCUGGAGGAAUACCGAUGGCGAAGGCAGCUCCCUGGCAUCAUACUGACACUGAGGUGCGAAAGCGUGGGUAGCAAACAGGAUUAGAUACCCUGGUAGUCCACGCCGUAAACGAUGUCUACCAGUCGUUGGGUCUUUUAAAGACUUAGUGACGCAGUUAACGCAAUAAGUAGACCGCCUGGGGAGUACGGCCGCAAGGUUA
This 549-nucleotide ribosomal RNA is filed under the name uncultured bacterium. RNAcentral describes it as "bacterial SSU rRNA". It matches the Rfam family "Bacterial small subunit ribosomal RNA", at positions 355 to 896 of the family's 1533-position model. The record is from RNAcentral.